Haliotis rubra (blacklip abalone) is the source of this 178-nucleotide long non-coding RNA. RefSeq lists it as uncharacterized. The record is from RefSeq and is a predicted model, not a curated record. NCBI's taxonomy places the organism in Eukaryota, Metazoa, Mollusca, Gastropoda, Lepetellida, Haliotidae. The transcript is spliced from 3 exons.
CAUGCUGUGUCUUGUGUCACAUCCAAUGUGUUGUUUUAUAUAUUGCGCAACAUCCGGCUUAUCGUGUUGUAUAUUGUGUCUUAUAUCCAACCUAUAAUAUGUGUUCCCAAAGUUACACCAGUGUCAUUAACUAACUAGUCAAUAUAUAACUAAAACAAAGAUAAAUUUUCUAAAGGGG